RNAcentral lists this long non-coding RNA (332 nucleotides) under Chloebia gouldiae (Gouldian finch). RNAcentral describes it as "Erythrura gouldiae (Gouldian finch) lncRNA (ENSEGOG00005002527.1)". Lineage: Eukaryota; Metazoa; Chordata; Aves; Passeriformes; Passeridae. The record is from RNAcentral.
CUGGGUGAUAUUGAUUUCCAGGUAUCAAAUAGUAUCUUUAAGAAUGUCAGUGAUCUUCAAUAAUUUCUUUCACACAGGAAAAGAAGUUCACCGUCCCCUACUCCUUCUGUGAGGAAUGAUGCCAGUGCCAUUGCAGAGCAUAAAGGAAGUUCUUCUGACCUACAUGAGAAAAAUGCGGAAAGUGAUGAAAUUAAUACUGAAAUAAAAACAGAAGAAACAACUAGCUGCAAGGACACCCAAAAUCCAAAGGUGAAUGAACAGCUGUUGAAGGCUAGAGCAGGACUAUCACCUCUACUGGCUUCUGCUCAUGAAAGCAGCUGUAUCCGCCUAUG